UCCUUAGAUGUCCUGGGCCGCACGCGCGCUACACUGAGUGUCUGAGAUACGAGUCUGCCUGGUCCGGCAAGGUCUAGGUAAUCGCUAAAAGACACAUCAUGCUUGGGAUAGAUUAUUGCAAAUAUUAAUCUUGAACGAGGAAUUCCUAGUAAGCGCAAGUCAACAGCUUGCGUUGAUUACGUCCCUGCCCUUUGUACACACCGCCCGUCGCUACUACUGAUUGGAUGUUUAAGCGAGGUUCUCGAACUGCUAGCGACUUAGCUUCGGUGAGGUCGCAGUGUGGGGAGUGAACCUAGCUUUGGUGUCUAGAGGAAGUAAAAGUCGUAACA
RNAcentral lists this ribosomal RNA (329 nucleotides) under uncultured eukaryote. Its description in RNAcentral is "partial 18S ribosomal RNA". It matches the Rfam family "Eukaryotic small subunit ribosomal RNA", at positions 1470 to 1796 of the family's 1831-position model. The record is from RNAcentral.